CCCCCUACAGGCUGUUUACUGUUUGUGGGUUGACUACCUCUAGUGAGUACAGGCAGCGAGUAAUCUUAACUAAUCCUUAAAAGUAAAAUAAAUAUGCACAUAUAUUCUAUUUGACCUCUUGCGCCGACAGUUUGGCUUAAGCUGGUUAAUGAGCAGCUCGGAGGAAAAGCUGCCACCGCUGCUGGAGCUCAGGUUACCUUUCACAAGGCUAGCCGAUUCUUAGCGUGACAUUUACCAGCAGACCUGAGAGCGGAAAACAGGGAGUAAAAUCACACCAUGCUACCUGACAAGGACGGUCCAGUCAUUGGAGGGGGCCAGGGCUCCCCUGAAGGAGAGGACCCCUCUGUGGCUCUGUUCAGGGAAUACCUCCGUCUUAAAACCGUCCACCCUGCCCCUGACUAUGAUUCUGCUCUCAGGUUCUUGGACAGAAUAGCUGAGGAGCUGGAGCUUCCCAUGAAAAAGAUUGAGGUCUGUCCAGGCAGAGUUGUAUCUAUCAUGACAUGGGAAGGGACGAAACCCACCCUAAAAUCCGUCUUACUGAACUCCCACACAGAUGUUGUACCUGUUUACCAGGAGCACUGGAAAUACGAUGCUUUCAGUGCUAUGAAAGAUGCUGAGGGUAACAUUUUUGCCCGUGGAUCUCAGGACAUGAAAUGUGUGACUAUACAAUACAUUCAGGCGGUCAGAAGACUGAAGGCGCAGGGAUGGAAACCGACACGCACUGUGCAUUUAAUGUUUGUUCCUGAUGAAGAAGUUGGAGGCCAUAAGGGAAUGGAAACAUUUGUGACGCAUCCAGAGUUUCAAAAGUUAAACAUCGGCUUUUCUCUGGAUGAAGGUCUGGCCAAUCCUGGUGAGGCUUUCACUGUGUUUUAUGGAGAAAGGAACCCCUGGUGGAUUACUGUCCGCUGCCCGGGAAGUCCUGGUCAUGGCUCUAGGUUUGUGGAAAACACAGCUGCAGAAAAACUCCGACAAGUCAUCAACUCUUUUCUGGACUUCAGAGAGAAGGAGAAACAUCGGUUAAACACCAGUGAGUGUUUCACACUGGGAGACGUCACCACUGUGAAUAUGACCAUGGUUAAAGGCGGUGUGGCCUACAAUGUCAUCCCAGCUGAAAUGGAUGUCAGCUUCGACUUAAGAAUCCCACCCACAGUAAACCUCCAGGAGUUUGAAAAGCAGAUCAAGCAGUGGUGUAAAGAUGCAGGAGAUGAUGUCACGUAUGAGUUUGCUCAGAAACACAUGAACCAGAACAUCACAUCCACAGCUGAGAACGAUCCCUGGUGGAGCGCAUUCAGUGCCACCUGCAAGUCAUUCAGACAUUUCCCUGCAAAAUGGGUCAGAUUUCAUCCAGACACAAUGAGAAUCCUGGCGGAUGUGAACAGCAUAUUGAGAAGGAGAGUUUAGCGCUGUGGGAACCCUGAGCUCCUGAGCCUUACUGCUGCAGCUCAGAUCUGACGAUACAGGACAUGACAGCAGCCUUAACACAUUGGGCCGUCAGGGAGACGCAUAAAAGCAGAAGCCACAUCCUUCCUCCCAGAGGGGGCAGGUGCAGUCAUCCUGCCGGCUGUCGAGCAUGAGAACGCCGUGCUGUGCAUCGCAUUGCUGCUGCUUAGCAGUUUGCAGAGGACAUGUUGCUUUUGCUGCUAAUUUGGGAAGAAUUUGGCAAAUAUGGAAAAGCAGAAAUGUGUACACUUAAGCACCCUCCACGAUGACAGUCCUAGCUAUUUGAAAUGUGUAAACGUUUCUAAAAUGAAAUGUUGUUGUUUUGCAUUAACAUAUUCUAAUGCUGGAAACAUUAAACAAAUCCAUUGUUUAAUUUAUUCUGAAGUGAAGAGAAAAUCCAACAUUAAUUUUUAAAGUAACCUUGUGUGUUUUUUAGCCACAUAGUGCUACUAUAAAUAAAUAACUAUGUUUCCUUCAGGUGUUAUUAAAAGGCUGCAUAUAUCAAAUAUGACUUAAAAAACUGUAAGUUAUGCCUAGUACUGGCUAGUCUGAAGGAGUUGAGUGGAGGAACUGCUCUGUGAGGGAGAAGCUUGGAUACUUCAGGUUUUAGGCCCAGAGACCUUGAUAGAUAAUGGAAGAUGGUUGAUUUUGUGUCUAAUGGAGCAUUUCUGUCUUGAUCCAACCACAUGUCUGUUUUAUGACAGAGUAUAGAUUUUUAUUUUAAAUUUCCUGGUGUUUCAAAGAGUUGAUUAUACCAUGCACUCGAACAAGGUUCCCUGUAAACUUUGGGAGAAAACAGCUUCAGGUAUAGUUAUUUUAUGGGACUUGUAAGUGAUGCCACUGAAUAAUUUUGCUUGAAUGAAGGUUGAUUCUUUCUAAAUAUUUUAACAUGAGAAUAUGCAUUACAGGUCCAUUACUUACAUAUUUCUCCCAAACAUAUUGCAAAAAAGACAGUGACUUAUGCCUUUAGAGCACAUGAGCAACAGAAAAAAACCUCACCUUAUAAGUAUGUAAAAAGAAAGAAUGAAAUCAAUUUGCAAAUCUAUUAAAGAGGUUACCGUUCAUCUCGUUUGUACAUCUGCAGCAUCUCAGGGUUUAGUUUCAUGCUUGAGGGGAGAGCUGCUAACCCUCACAGAUGCUGCAGUUAAUAAAAGAACGUAAAGAAAUUAAAUCCUACAGCUGAGUGGCGACUCAUUCUGCCGUGUUGCGCUGCAGUGUAGCUACAACUGUCCUCUGGCAGUAAUUGCAGCUGAAACCUUCUGUGAUGGAAACAAGAUUCCCCCUUAAACAAGGGAUUAAUUGUAGUCUGCCAGGCACUGCGGUUUUGCUGGCACCGUACCGUACUACACUGGCCAACACAUUCUCUUGCACUUGUCUAUGCACUCAUACCCCCAUCCUCCAAGUCUUAGCAAAUUAAUAAUAAUCAUGUUGAACAAAGAGAGAAUUGUUAAACGCUAAAAUAAAUCUCUUACACAGCUUAUGAAUCAUCAUUACUGCCUUAUUUUUCUUAUUUACAUUUCGUGUCAUCUGUAUGUGUUUUUUUUUAGCAUUUUUAUGUUAUGUACGCUUAAACAGAAGUUCUGAACGUUUAACAAAAAUAUGCAAGGGUAAAUGUAAGGUAAAAACCCUCAUGUGAACCCUCUGCUCUUAAAAGUGCAGGCUUUACAAAUGGUUCAUGAACUUGGCUUUGACUUUUUUCAUAAAUGAAGACAG
Molecule: RNA transcript, 3153 nt
Organism: Xiphophorus maculatus (southern platyfish)
Lineage: Eukaryota; Metazoa; Chordata; Actinopteri; Cyprinodontiformes; Poeciliidae
Gene: acy1
Gene name: aminoacylase 1
Exons: 15
Source: RefSeq, a predicted model, not a curated record